GCAGUGCUAGCUCCAUGGCUUAGCGGAGGAGGCGGCGGUGGCGAGCUGGGGGGAGGGGGGACUCUUAUUUUGUUAGGGGGACCGGGCCGAGGCCCGACCGGCCUGGCAGGGCUCGCCCGGGGCCGGGCGUCAUGUCUCAUGCGGCCGAACCAGCUCGGGAUGGCGUAGAGGCCAGCGCGGAGGGCCCUCGAGCCGUGUUCGUGCUGUUGGAGGAGCGCAGGCCGGCCGACUCGGCUCAGCUGCUCAGCCUGAACUCUUUGCUUCCGGAAUCCGGGAUUGUUGCUGACAUAGAAUUAGAAAACGUCCUUGAUCCUGACAGCUUCUACGAGCUCAAAAGCCAACCCUUACCCCUUCGCUCAAGCCUCCCAAUAUCACUGCAGGCCACACCAGCCACCCCAGCUACACUCUCUGCAUCGUCUUCUGCAGGGGGCUCCAGGACCCCUGCCAUGUCGUCAUCUUCUUCAUCGAGGGUCUUGCUGCGGCAGCAGCUAAUGCGGGCCCAGGCGCAGGAGCAGGAGAGGCGUGAGCGUCGGGAACAGGCCGCCGCGGCUCCCUUCCCCAGUCCUGCACCUGCCUCUCCUGCCAUCUCUGUGGUUGGCGUCUCUGCUGGGGGCCACACAUUGAGCCGUCCACCCCCUGCUCAGGUGCCCAGGGAGGUGCUCAAGGUGCAGACCCAUCUGGAGAACCCAACGCGCUACCACCUGCAGCAGGCGCGCCGGCAGCAGGUGAAACAGUACCUGUCCACCACACUCGGGCCCAAGCUGGCUUCCCAGGCCCUCACCCCACCGCCGGGGCCCGCAAGUGCCCAGCCACUGCCUGCCCCUGAGGCUGCCCACACUACCGGCCCCACAGGCAGUGCGCCCAACAGCCCCAUGGCGCUGCUCACCAUCGGGUCCAGCUCAGAGAAGGAGAUUGAUGAUGUCAUUGAUGAGAUCAUCAGCCUGGAGUCCAGUUACAAUGAUGAAAUGCUCAGCUAUCUGCCCGGAGGCACCACAGGACUGCAGCUCCCCAGCACGGCUGGAGCGCAAUGGUGCUAUCUCGGCUCACUGGAACCUCCGCCUACCAAGUUCAAGCGAUUCUCUUGCCUCAGCCUCCUGAGUAACUGGGACUACAGGCGCGUGCCCCCAUGCCCGGCUAAUUUUUGUAUUUUUAGUAGAGACGGGGUUUCACCGUGUUACCCAGGUUAUCUCAAUCUCCUGACUUUGUGAUCUGCCUGCCUCGGCCUCCCAAAGUGCUGGGAUUACAGGCAUGAGCCACCAUGCCUGGCCUAACUUGCUUUAUUUAUUUAUUUAUUUAUUUUUUAUUGAAUUUUUUUUUUUUUUUUGAGAUGGAGUUUCACUCUCCUUGUCCAGGCUGGAAUGCAAUGUGCGAUCUCUGCUCAUUGCACCCUCUGCCUCCUGGGUUCAAGCAAUUCUCCUGCCUCAGCCUCCCAAGUAGCCGAGAUUACAGGUGCCCGCCAGCACGCCUGGCUAAUUUUUGUAUUUUAGUAGAGACGGGGUUUCACUAUGUUGGUCAGGCUGGUCUCGAACUCCUGACCUCAGGUGAUCCACCUGCCUCGGCCUCCCAAAGUUCUCGGAUUACAGGUUUGAGCCACCGCGCCCGGCCUAUUUAUUUAUUUUUGAGACAGGAUCUUGCUCUGUCACCCAGGCUGGAGUGCAGUGGUGUAAUCCUGGCUCACUGCAGCCUCCACCUUCCGGGCUCAAGUGAUCCUCCCACCUCAGCCUCCCAAGUAACUGGGACCAUAGGCUUGUGUCACCAUGCCUGGCUAAUUUUUUGCAUUUUUAGUAGAGACAGGGUCUCACUGUGUUGCCCAGGCUGGUCUCGAACUCCUGAGCUCAAGCCAUCUGCCCACCUCGGCCUCCCAAAGUGCUGGGAUUACAGACAUAGCCACCAUGCCUGGUCUCAUAACUUGCUUUAGAGCAUACCAAGUGGCUGUAGUUUUGCUUUUUUCCAACUUAUCAAUAGGAUGGAAGCAUGUAUAAAAAUGGGACUAAUUUAUCAGAACUUUUUAUUGAUUUGGACACAACUAGAGAAUGGGACCUUAUAUCCACCAGACUGGAAGUGGGUUCAAGAGAUUAAAGCUCAGCCAGGCACGGUGGCUCACACCUGUAAUCCCAGCACUUUGGGAGGCUGAGGCGGGCAGAUCACAAGGUCAGGAGAUCCAGACCAUCCUGGCUAACACAGUGAAACCCCGUCUCUACUAAAAAUACGAAAAAAUUAGCUGGGCGUGGUGGCGGGUGCCUGUAGUCCCAGCUACUCGGGAGGCUGAGGCAGGAGAAUGGCGUGAACCCGGGAGGCAGAGCUUGCAGUGAGCCGAGAUUGCGCCACUGCCCUCCAGCCUGGGUGACAGAACGAUACUCCGUCUCCAAAAAAAAAAAAAAAAAAAAAAAAAGAGAUUAAAACUCAUGAAGAAGUGGGAUUUGGAUAUACUUUAUUUUAUUUGUAUUUAUUUAUUUAUUUAUUUAUUUUGAGAUAGAGUCUUGCUCUGUUGCCCAGGCUGGAGUGCAGUGGUGUGAUCUUGGCUCACUGCAACCUCUACCUCCUGGGUUCAAGCAACUCUCCUGUUUCAGCCUCUCAAGUAGCUGGGACUACAAGUGCAGGCCACCAUGCUCGGCUAAUUUUUUUUGUUGUUUUGUAUUUUUAGUAGAGACAGAGUUUCACCAUGUUGGCCAGGCUGGUCACGAACUCCUGACCUCAAGUGAUCCGCCCGCCUUGGCCUCCCAAAGUGCUGGGAUUACAGGCGUGAGCCACUGCACCUGGCCCUGGGUAUACUUAAGAUUGACGUGCUCCUCUGGAGUAUAUCCAGGAAAGUGUGAAGGAGAGGAAAAAAAAAAAACUAGGCUGACAUAAAGCAGUGCUAAUUGAAUAGUUGGAUAAGAAUCUCCUGAGAGAACAGAAUGUGCAGGAAGAUACUGGAGUCAGGACCUUGGUCCACAGCAGCAGGAGACCCUGAUGUGGAAGAUGGUACAACUUGAUCAGAGUGGAAGAUGGUACAACUUGAUCAGAGUGAAAGACUGGAGAUUAGGUUGGAAUUCUCCAGAAGGCCAGAUUUUGGAUAGAAUGUUGUCAUGACAAUUUACCAAGGUCGGAGAAGAUUGGGUUGGAGUGUUCCAAGAAUGCUGGAUUGGAAUGUUGUGCUGGGAGGAGCUAACGGACUGGAAUGUCCCAUCAGAGCCGACAAAGACCUGAGAAGGGUGGUUUUCCAGCAUUUCUUCUCAGAGCCAGCCCCGGGGUUUGGGAAAGGGGCUUUAGAGGUCACUGAGGGAUAUGAGGGACUGGAGGAAGUGAUAAGCAGGCCAGGCAGGCUCCAGUCUCCCAGCGAAGCAAGCUGCCUGUGUCAGGGAAUCUGCUUGAUGUGUACAGUAGUCAAGGCGUGGCCACACCAGCCAUCACUGUCAGCAACUCCUGCCCAGCUGAGC
Molecule: RNA transcript, 3419 nt
Organism: Homo sapiens (human)
Lineage: Eukaryota; Metazoa; Chordata; Mammalia; Primates; Hominidae
Gene: TFE3
Gene name: transcription factor binding to IGHM enhancer 3
Exons: 7
Source: RefSeq, marked reviewed